Molecule: long non-coding RNA, 479 nt
Organism: Oncorhynchus keta (chum salmon)
Lineage: Eukaryota; Metazoa; Chordata; Actinopteri; Salmoniformes; Salmonidae
Exons: 5
Source: RefSeq, a predicted model, not a curated record
AGCCAGCUUGUACAGGUGUCUGACGUGGCUGUGUGUGUGUCUUCUCACCAACUGUUGUACAGUGUUGCUGAUAUCUCCUCCCAGAGAGAUAGCCAGCUUGUACAGGUGUCUGACGUGGCUGUGUGUGUCUUCUCACCAACUGUUGUACAGUGUUGCUGAUAUCUCCUCCCAGAGAGAUAGCCAGCUUGUACAGGUGUCUGACGUGGCUGUGUGUGUCUUCUCACCAACUGUUGUACAGUGUUGCUGAUAUCUCCUCCCAGAGAGAUAGCCAGCUUGUACAGGUGUCUGACGUGGCUGUGUGUGUCUUCUCACCAACUGUUGUACAGUGUUGCUGAUAUCUCCUCCCAGAGAGAUAGCCAGCUUGUACAGGUGUCUGACGUGGCUGUGUGUGUCUUCUCACCAACUGUUGUACAGUGUUGCUGAUAUCUCCUCCCAGAGAGAUAGCCAGCUUGUACAGGUGUCUGACGUGGCUGUGUGUG